Long non-coding RNA from Rhincodon typus (whale shark), 331 nucleotides. RefSeq lists it as uncharacterized. The transcript has 3 exons. The record is from RefSeq and is a predicted model, not a curated record. NCBI's taxonomy places the organism in Eukaryota, Metazoa, Chordata, Chondrichthyes, Orectolobiformes, Rhincodontidae.
GCAAAGAAAAUCCUGGGAACAAUAGACCAGUAAGCCUAACAUCUGUGGUGGGUUGAUUUUCCUAUUUCAAUAAAAGGUAUGGAGCUCUAUGAAAAUUGGACCUCUGCAGUUUUGAGCAACUGGUUAACCCGCAUUGGAACCCAUCAGAUUGCUGACAUGCUCAUAAGUGAAGAUAAAUCCCUUAUCCCAGGAAUGAGUCAAGUGAACUUUCUCUGAACUGAUUCGAACACAUGUGGACUGUAAUGCGCUCUCAUCAAUGCCCUGUACAAUUGUAACAAGACUUCCCUACUUUUGUACUCAAUUCCUUUUCCAAUAAAAAAUGAACAAAUGA